CCUACGGGAGGCAGCAGUGAGGGAUAUUGGACAAUGGAUGGAAAUCUGAUCCAGCCAUGCCGCGUGCAGGAAGACGGCCCUAUGGGUUGUAAACUGCUUUUAUACGGGAGCAAUAAGGUCUACGCGUAGACUGAUGAGAGUACCGUAUGAAUAAGCAUCGGCUAACUCCGUGCCAGCAGCCGCGGUAAUACGGAGGAUGCGAGCGUUAUCCGGAUUUAUUGGGUUUAAAGGGUGCGUAGGCGGCUUUGUAAGUCAGCGGUGAAAUUUUGCAGCUUAACUGUAACAGUGCCGUUGAUACUGU
RNAcentral lists this ribosomal RNA (301 nucleotides) under uncultured bacterium. Its description in RNAcentral is "bacterial SSU rRNA". It matches the Rfam family "Bacterial small subunit ribosomal RNA", at positions 338 to 636 of the family's 1533-position model. The record is from RNAcentral.